CAGCCGCGGUAAUUCCAGCUCCAAUAGUGUAUAUUAAAGUUGCUGUGAUUAAAACGCUCGUAGUUGAAUUAAAAUGUGAUUUUAUACAUUUUGAAGACUUUGCAUAAGUAAAGUUUCUAGAAAUGUUAAAUUAAAAUCAAAGAAGGAAACAAUUCAAGUAAUUGAGUUGUUAUUACUUUGAAUAAAAUAAGGUGUUUAAAGCAAAACAUUAUGUUAAUGAAUAUUCAAGCAUGGGACAAUGCUGAGGGGAUGUCAAUAAGACAUUUCGAGAGAAGGAUUAAAAGGAACAAUUGGGGUGAUUCAGAAAAUAACGGGAGAGGUGAAAAUCCAUGAUCGCUAUAAGAUGCACGAGAGCGAAAGCAUUUCACUCAACUGUGUCCAUUAAUCAAGAACGAAAGUUAGGGGAUCGAAGACGAUCAGAUACCGUCGUAGUCCUAACUAUAAACGA
This 448-nucleotide ribosomal RNA is filed under the name Entamoeba histolytica. RNAcentral's name for it is "SSU rRNA". It matches the Rfam family "Eukaryotic small subunit ribosomal RNA", at positions 571 to 1039 of the family's 1831-position model. Lineage: Eukaryota; Evosea; Mastigamoebida; Endamoebidae. The record is from RNAcentral.